GUAUGUAUUUUUGUGGGUGUUUUUCGAAGACAAGGUUGUGAUUGAACGGAGUAAAUAAUGUCUGACCUUGUUGUAAAUUAGUAAUAGUACGCGUUGCUCUGGAAUGGUUUUGAUCGGUUAGUAUGUGACUUUUUUCGUUUGGUGGAAUCUUCUUAUUUUGUACGAUACUUGUCCAUGGAUAACAAAGUUACUCUGUCUCCCGGAUUGGCCGUCUGUAAGAAUCUUAGCUGCCUGCCUUGUACAUUAACGUAACUAGAUAGGAAACUUUUCA
RNAcentral lists this long non-coding RNA (271 nucleotides) under Daucus carota (carrot). Its description in RNAcentral is "long non-coding RNA (DCAR_LNC001095)". Lineage: Eukaryota; Viridiplantae; Streptophyta; Magnoliopsida; Apiales; Apiaceae. The record is from RNAcentral.